Molecule: long non-coding RNA, 206 nt
Organism: Tachysurus fulvidraco (yellow catfish)
Lineage: Eukaryota; Metazoa; Chordata; Actinopteri; Siluriformes; Bagridae
Exons: 2
Source: RefSeq, a predicted model, not a curated record
UGGAACACAGCACGUAGUUAAAGCCUCGAUAAUCUCAGACAGACCUGAGCAAUCAAACACAGCACAGGAUGUGGGGUCGGGACUGCGAGAUAAAACACCUGAACAAUCAAACCAUGCAGAGUUCGUUCACUCGUGUUCAAACAGCAGGCGCGCGGGGGGGGGGGGGGUAAAGUCCUCAGUACACAGGGCAGGACAGGUGAAGUCAC